GUAAAUUCUUGUGUUGUUGAACAAUAUUCAGAAACAAAAAGAAUCAGCAGAAACAUUGUUUUGGCACAACUUGCUACAGAAUGGAAUAAAUGUUCUCAAAGAAAAAACUAGUUUCACGAGUGGGCAGAUAUUUGUUGGCUCUCUUUGCAUUUGUAAUUCUAUCCACUUUGUACAUCUGUUCAUCCAUGUCUCUGUGCACCUGUAACAAUUUAAUUUAUGUUAAUUGUUGGAAAAGAACAUUAUCAAGUGCGAAGAAAAAAAGAUUACGCGUAAUAUCAGCGAAAGUAGGCUUAUGUACCACUACUGUAUUUCCAAGGAAAAUAUGUUCGUCAUGAGAUUAAUUUGAAUAUGCGGAAUCGCUGAAGAAUAGGAAGAAAUUUAAUAAAGUUAGGCCACAAAAUCAUAUCUAACAACCCUCUAUUGCUGUAAAAUGUUGAAUAAGAUUAAUGUGUACAUGUUCAUGCAGAAAUGAUUUCACCAGUGGUAGUUGAAUUUCAUUGUCUUUACAAUUGACUGUGUGAUAUAAGAACUUUUCAUGAAUUUUGUUAAAAAUAAAAGUAGCUGAACCUUUUUAAUGAACAAGUUUAAAGAAUGGAAUGAACAAGAAUUGAUUUAACAAAUGUUGAACCGAAUGAAACAGGUUUAAUAAACAAUUGUUCAACCAUAAAUAAGUAGUUGAACAUCUUUUUUGUUAACAAAUUGAACAAAAAAGAGAUAUGUAAAUAUAUUGAAGAAAAAUUCCAGGCAAUUAAUAAAAAUGAUUAACAAAUGUUCAAAUUUGUUUUUUUAUAUUUAACCUAUUCAAAACGAAUGUUCAGUUUUUUUGUUGCAAACAAAUGUUCCAUUUUUAUACAAAAAUGUUCAUCGUAUAUUACAAAAUUGUUCACAGUAUGUUUCAAAAAAAACAUUAACUACGCAUUAUAAAAAUGUUCACGCAUAUUAAGAAUAUGUUCAACGAAUACUACAAAAGUUCACUGUUAAUGUGAAUUUUUUUUUCAGUGUUUAUUACACAAAAAUGUUCAGUGUGUAUUCGGAAAUUUUCCAACAUCGAUUACACAAAGUGUUCAAUGUGUAUCCAAAAAAUGUUCAACGUACAUUAGAAAUGUUCAAUGCCUACCAAAAUUAAACAAUAGAUUUUAAUAGGUUAUAAGCAAAAAAAUGGAACGAAUGAACUCUUAAGAAUUUAGUUCAACAGAAAGUGAAUAAGUUUAAUAGAUAAUGAACAAAUUUUGGAAUGUUAAUAAACAUAAAAAAAUUCCUUUUUACGCUGAAAGUUGAUUAAUUAAGAAACAAAUACACAGAAUGACAAGUUAAUUAGAACCAUACUGAAGUAGAUGAUAUUCUGCAGGGCAAACUCUGCAAAAGGCAAUAAAAUUAGAAUAUCACCCAGCACAAAAGGAAACAUCACUCUAUUUCACCUUUUCUUAUAAAAAUA
RNAcentral lists this long non-coding RNA (1435 nucleotides) under Triticum aestivum (bread wheat). Its description in RNAcentral is "long non-coding RNA (TAES_LNC015604)". The record is from RNAcentral. Lineage: Eukaryota; Viridiplantae; Streptophyta; Magnoliopsida; Poales; Poaceae.